This is a long non-coding RNA of Mustela lutreola (European mink), 2740 nucleotides long. RefSeq lists it as uncharacterized. The record is from RefSeq and is a predicted model, not a curated record. The transcript has 3 exons. Lineage: Eukaryota; Metazoa; Chordata; Mammalia; Carnivora; Mustelidae.
AGAGGCAGUGCAUUUUAAAGUGUGGAUUAUUGUAUGAGUGUCCGAGUAGAGUUUAUAUUCCUCUUUAGGAAGCUUCACGAGUGUGUGGGUGUUUGUGCGCAUGGCUACUUGGGAGCGGGCACAGGCUCUUAGUAUUGGGGGUGUCCCUGCUGUGGGAUGUCCUCUUGCCAGAUUAGGGGAGACUCCUCUAACUCCCCAAAACUGGUGCCCGUAACUAGCCUGCCUCGGCUCGUAAGGGGUUAACUAAAGUCGAUUCGGAAGACAUACACCCCCCCCCCCACACACACACCACAGUCACCCCUACCCACACUCUCGCUUCCGACCCCGGCCAGGCUCCCAAAUCUCCCCCGGGGACCCCCACCCCACCCCGCAGCCCACCCACCCGAACGCACAGCCUUUACCUGAGGGGCCCGGCAGCUUCGGGCCUCCCGAGGGGGCUGCGAGUGUCUGUUGGAACUUCGCACGUGUCCACCCCGGCGCAAAGCAGGUUCUUGCAUGCCUGGUGAGAGCCAGUGAGGGGGAACGCAGUGCUUAAGGAGUUGCAACACUGGAGACAGGCUUUGGUGAUUCAAAUCUGGGCCCUGCUGCUCAGUGGCUUUGUGUCCUUGGAGGAAGGGUUCUGAACGACAAGGAGCUGUCAUGUCACCACGAAGAGUCCCCAGAAACAAGUCUUUCAGAGCUCUCACUUCCUGGGUAGAAUUCUCCUCUUUCAAGGGACCUCUGCUUCUGAGAUCUGAAGCCCUUCAUCAAAGACUGCUUGCGACUCGAGUGGAUCAGAAAUGCCAUCUCAGUGCUCUUCACCGGUGUGUGGGUUACACCAGCCCAGCACCCAGGGCUUUAGAAAACACGGACCUGGGACGCCUGGGUGGCGCAGUUGGUUAAGCAGCUGCCUUCAGGUCAGGUCAUGAUCCCAGAAUCCUGGGAUCGAGUCCCACAUCAGGCUCCUUGCUUGGCAGGGAGCCUGCUUCUCGCUCUGCCUCUGCCUGCCACUCUGCCUGUGCUCACUCUCGCUCCUCUCUCUCUCUGACAAAUAAAUAAAUAAAAUCUUUAAAAAAAAAAAAGAAAACACGGACCUGUCUGAUCAACAAUCACGGGCGAACCAUAAAAUCAACCAUAACCAAUUGUAUUGCUUCCUGCUCCUGGGGGACAUGGAUGAAAUAAUGUGGUUUCUUUGAUGCCUAAUAAAGUUCAAGUCCAGUGAUGGUGAGAAUGUAGAAAGGAAUGAAAGACAUGUUCAGUGCAAAUGUGUUUUUUUUUUUUUCCCCUCAUUGCCCUAUUAGAUUAGGAACUCCUCGAGCAAAGGGACCAUGUCUGCUGUCUUCAUUUGUAAUGUUUAGGACCAGUGCCCCGCUUAGUGCCCUAUUCACAAUAUGUGCUCAGUAAUUCAACACUCCCGGAAUUUUUGCUUUCCAAGUACAGGACAAACGUGGUAAAAAAAUUCUGAAUACACAAAAGCUAAAAAGAAUGAGUGUAAUGCUUUAUGUGACUGUCAUUCAGGUGGCUUUGUAAAAUAGACAAUUCUAAGCACUAAAUUGUCAGACCAGUUUAAAAAAAAAAACACACAAAUCUCAAUAGCCCCAUACACUUUUACAGCAUAUCUUUUGUGGCAAUUAUUAUAGUAGACCCCUUAUUCAUGGUUUCACUUUCCUCAGUUUUAAUUACCUUCAGUGGGCCAUUGUCAGGAAGCAGAUGAACUUCCUUCUGACCUAUCCUCAGAAGUUCAAUAGUAGCCUAACGCUAGGUCACAAUGCCUUCGUCAUUCACCUCACUUCAUCUCAUCACAUAGAUAUUUCAUCAUCUCACAUCAUCACAAAAUGGAAGAUGGGUACCGUACAAUAAGGUAUUUAGAGAGAGCACAUUCACAUAACUUUUAUUACAGUAUAUUGUUAUUAUUUUUCUAUUGUAUUAUGAGUUACUGUUGUUCAUCUCUUACUGUGCCUACUUUAGAAGUUAAACUUUACCAUAGGUAUGUAUGUACAGGAAAAACCAGUAUAUAUGGGGUUUGGUUCUAUCCACGUUUUUAGGCACCCACGGGGCAUUCUUGGAAAGUAUCUGGGUGGAUAAUGGGCAGAGGGGGGAUCUACUGUACUGUAAAUUAUAGUGAUAUAGAAAUAUAUCUUAAUUCUCUCUAUUGUUAAACUCCUUCAGGAACUAGUUUCUGUUGUGUUAUACACAUCAUACGCUUCUAAUACCUGUUUGCUGAAUAAAUGAAUGAUGAAAUGCAUGAUGUUUUAUUUCCACUCAUUCAGAAUGUUCAAAGAGGUUUCACAUAAUUCAAUGGACUUAUUAAGUAAAAAGUUACUAUCUAUUUAAUAUAUAUGGAUUGACACCAAAAUAUAAAAUUCUACACGGCAAAAUUAUACCAAAUGAUAUUAUUUUUUAUGAUACAAAAGGCACUUCAAGACCUUUAACUUACAAAAUUAAAAGAAACCAACGGUUUCCUAAAAAUAUAUCUUCAUCUCUUGUUUUGGUCUACCAGUAGUUUACCAUGACUUUUAAAUAAAUCUGCUUUGUCAAGUUGUCUAGUUGUAUGGAUCCUGAAUAAAAAGCGAUUUUAUAUUCUGCUCGGAAAGAUUUUAGAAAGCUAAAGUACCUUGAGAAAGACAAUGUAACAUUGAACCAAAGUGAUGAAAAUGAUUAUAUUUCAGUCUUUAAUACAUUUGUAUCUCGACAUAUUACAUUUCUAGACCAAAAUGGUUUGUACAUCUCUGUUGCUUGAGCAGGAGGAAAUCAUUAUAAU